This 382-nucleotide ribosomal RNA is filed under the name uncultured bacterium. Its description in RNAcentral is "bacterial SSU rRNA". It matches the Rfam family "Bacterial small subunit ribosomal RNA", at positions 28 to 404 of the family's 1533-position model. The record is from RNAcentral.
GACGAACGCUGGCGGCGUGCCUAACACAUGUAAGUCGCACGGGACUGGAGGGCAACUUCCAGUUCAGUGGCAGACGGGUGCGUAACACGUGAGGAACCUGUCCGACGGCGGGGAUAGCCGGCCCAACGGCCGGGUAAUACCGCAUACGAUCGUUCGGGGGCAUCCCUGAACGAGGAAAGCAGCCGCAAGGUUGCGCCGAUGGAGGGUCUCGCGGCCUAUCAGCUAGUUGGCGGGGUAANGGCCCACCAAGGCGACGACGGGUAGCUGGUCUGAGAGGAUGGCCAGCCACAUUGGGACUGAGACACGGCCCAGACUCCUACGGGAGGCAGUAGUGGGGAAUCUUGCGCAAUGGCCGCAAGGCUGACGCAGCGACGCCGCGUGU